UACGUAGGGGGCAAGCGUUGUCCGGAUUUAUUGGGCGUAAAGAGCGUGUAGGCGGCCGUACAGGUCAGCUGUGAAAACUCGAGGCUCAACCUCGAGACGUCGGUUGAAACCGUACGGCUAGAGUCCGGAAGAGGGGAGUGGAAUUCCCGGUGUAGCGGUGAAAUGCGCAGAUAUCAGGAAGAACACCAAUGGCGAAAGCAGCUCUCUGGGACGGUACUGACGCUGAGACGCGAAAGCGUGGGGAGCGAACAGG
RNAcentral lists this ribosomal RNA (253 nucleotides) under uncultured bacterium. RNAcentral describes it as "partial 16S ribosomal RNA". It matches the Rfam family "Bacterial small subunit ribosomal RNA", at positions 524 to 776 of the family's 1533-position model. The record is from RNAcentral.